This 492-nucleotide ribosomal RNA is filed under the name uncultured bacterium. Its description in RNAcentral is "partial 16S ribosomal RNA". It matches the Rfam family "Bacterial small subunit ribosomal RNA", at positions 29 to 507 of the family's 1533-position model. The record is from RNAcentral.
AAUGAACGCUGGCGGUAGGCCUAACACAUGCAAGUCGAACGGCAACACAGUAAGUGCUUGCUCUUACGGGUGUCGAGUGGCGGACUGUUGAGUAAUACAUCGGAAUCUACUGGUUCGUGGGGGGUAACGUAGGGUAAGUUCCGCUAAUACCGCAUACAUCGGACGGGUGAAAGCAGGCGUUCUUCUAGCCUUUCGCUAUUGUAUUAGCUGAUGUCGGAUUCGCUAGUUGGCUGGGUAAAGGCCCACCACGGCGACGCUCCGUAGCUGGUCUGAGAGGAUGGUCAGACACACUGGAACUGAGAAACGGCACAGACUCCUGCGGGAGGACGCAGUGGAGAAUCUUGCGGAAUGGGCGAAAGCCUGAUCCUGCAAUACCGCGUGAGUGAAGAAGGAGUUAGGCUUGUAAAGCGAUGUUGUUCGGAAAGAAAAAAAGCACGUUCAUCUGCGGAUGUUAUGACGGUACCAACAGAAUAAGCCCCGGCUAACUUCGUG